CCUACGGGCGGCAGCAGUGGGGAAUUUUGCGCAAUGCUCGUAAGAGUGACGCCGCGACGCCGCGUGAAUGACGAAGGCCUUCGGGUCGUAAAGUUCUUUCGACAGGGAAGAAAAUGCCUAUAAGUAACUGUGUAUGUAUUGACGGUACCUGUAUAAGCAGCCCCGGCUAACUCCGUGCCAGCAGCCGCGGUAAUACGGAGGGGGCGAGCGUUGUUCGGAGGGACUGGGCGUAAAGAGCACGUAGGCGGUGUUGUAAGUCAUUAGUCAAAGACUAGAGCUCAACUUUAGUAAGGCUAGUGAUACUAUAAUACUAGAGUAUCAGAGAGGAUUGCAGAAUUCCUGGUGUAGCGGUGAAAUGCGUAGAUAUCAGGAGGAAUACCGUUAGCGAAGGCGGCAAUCUGGCUGGAAACUGACGCUGAGGUGCGAAAGCGUGGGUAGCAAACAGGAUUAGAUACCCCAGUAGUC
Molecule: ribosomal RNA, 465 nt
Filed under: uncultured bacterium
Lineage: Bacteria
Description: partial 16S ribosomal RNA
Rfam family: Bacterial small subunit ribosomal RNA
Source: RNAcentral